GGAAUCUUCCACAAUGGACGAAAGUCUGAUGGAGCAACGCCGCGUGAGUGAAGAAGGGUUUCGGCUCGUAAAACUCUGUUGUUAAAGAAGAACAUAUCUGAGAGUAACUGUUCAGGUAUUGACGGUAUUUAACCAGAAAGCCACGGCUAACCACGUGCCAA
This 161-nucleotide ribosomal RNA is filed under the name uncultured bacterium. RNAcentral's name for it is "partial 16S rRNA". It matches the Rfam family "Bacterial small subunit ribosomal RNA", at positions 358 to 511 of the family's 1533-position model. The record is from RNAcentral.